CUAAAAUUUGUGCCAGCAGCCGCGGUUAUACGUAGGGCGCGAGCGUUGUCCGGAAUUAUUGGGCGUAAAGGGCUCGUAGGCGGCUUGUCGCGUCUGCUGUGAAAACGCGGGGCUCAACUCCGCGAGUGCAGUAGGUACGGGCAAGCUGGAGUGCGGCAGGGGUAGCUGGAAUUCCUGGUGUAGCGGUGGAAUGCGCAGAUAUCAGGAAGAACACCGAUGGCGAAGGCAGGCCACUGGGCCGUCACUGACGCUGAGGAGCGAAAGCGUGGGGAGCGAACAGG
RNAcentral lists this ribosomal RNA (281 nucleotides) under uncultured Actinomycetaceae bacterium. Its description in RNAcentral is "partial 16S ribosomal RNA". It matches the Rfam family "Bacterial small subunit ribosomal RNA", at positions 496 to 776 of the family's 1533-position model. Lineage: Bacteria; Bacillati; Actinomycetota; Actinomycetes; Actinomycetales; Actinomycetaceae. The record is from RNAcentral.